GGACUCGUACUUCAAUUGGCAGAAGAUCCGGCUCAUAACCGGGAAGUUAUAGGUUCGAGUCCUAUCGGGUCUA
Molecule: transfer RNA, 73 nt
Filed under: Siphoviridae sp. ctFjF5
Lineage: Duplodnaviria; Heunggongvirae; Uroviricota; Caudoviricetes
Also listed under: 1 other name
Description: tRNA-Met
Rfam family: tRNA
About the family: Transfer RNA (tRNA) molecules are approximately 80 nucleotides in length. Their secondary structure includes four short double-helical elements and three loops (D, anti-codon, and T loops). Further hydrogen bonds mediate the characteristic L-shaped molecular structure. tRNAs have two regions of fundamental functional importance: the anti-codon, which is responsible for specific mRNA codon recognition, and the 3' end, to which the tRNAs corresponding amino acid is attached (by aminoacyl-tRNA synthetases). tRNAs cope with the degeneracy of the genetic code in two manners: having more than one tRNA (with a specific anti-codon) for a particular amino acid; and 'wobble' base-pairing, i.e. permitting non-standard base-pairing at the 3rd anti-codon position.
Source: RNAcentral